This is a small nucleolar RNA of 94 nucleotides. It matches the Rfam family "A. fumigatus snoRNA Afu_335". The record is from Rfam.
CAACAUGAUGAAACCCAGAUAGGGACAGCUUAUACCACGGUAUCUGAUGAGAACCCUGGGCGAUUAUUUUAGUAGAUGCUUCGACUUUCUGAAC